This 6765-nucleotide long non-coding RNA is filed under the name Sus scrofa (pig). Its description in RNAcentral is "lncRNA (ENSSSCG00000060595.1)". The record is from RNAcentral. Lineage: Eukaryota; Metazoa; Chordata; Mammalia; Artiodactyla; Suidae.
AUAUUAGUCGGGUUCUUAACCCAUUGAGCCAUAGCAUGAACUCCUUAACUGAGAACUUCUUGAGUGGAAUGAAGACUUGUCAAAUUCUGCACAGUUCAAAGCCAAUAACUGUUCAUCACAUAUAAAAUACUUGAAUUUCCUCAACGCUCUAAGAGAGAAAUAAAUUUCCAUUACUUCCAAUUAUUUCACUUGUAAUAAUUAGAUAUCAAUCUUAUGACUCAUGAUAUUGCCUUAUAUUGAAAUAUAAGGAAGAUAAAUGCUUAAGAAGGUAAGGAGAAAAUGAGUGUGAGAUAUUAAAAAGUUCCCUAUGUCUUUCUGAAAUAAAUGUAGUGUGCUUGUUUUUGAAAGAAUUGCUGCUUCAGGGGAGAAAGGUGAAAAUCUAUUAAAGAGAAAAAAAGUUUCUAAAGAAGUUGAGAGGUUUCUUUUUAUUUCCUUAAAAAAAAUUCUUACUGCUAAGUAUUGGCUCUUGGAAAAAAUGGUUAGCUAGCUAUAAAGUCGUAAUAGAAAAUAGUAAAAGCAAUGAAACAUACAAUUAAGGAUCACCCACCCCAGAUAUCUUCUAGUUCAUUAGUCAUCCUCCUAUCUCGGCCGAGGAGUUUUCUCAAUCUCUUGCUUUUUACUCCCAGACUCAUCUACAGGAAACUGACGAUAAGGUUCACUCUUUUUUAUAGUGUUUCCUUGCACAAAGCAAUGAUCUCUUAAACAUGAAGUUUAAUGCUCCCUCAGGAAAUGCUGUCCAUUUUAGACUCUUUUUUUCUGCAUGGUAGCGUUCUCUUUUUCUCAGUGAGGCUUGUAAGCUACAUCAGUAGUCAUAGGGAGUUUUACUCGAUUCACCAGUAGAGGGAGUUCAAAUUAAGUUGUGUGAACUUUUGGGGAAGGGGUUGUUCUAGAAUUUUCAAGGGUGCUGUAUAUCAUGGGCUGAAUACAGGGGACUGAGGGCACCAAUAACCAAAUAUAGAAGGGGGCAUUUGUUGAUUCUUUCAACAAACACUGCUAGGACAGGUGUUGCAGGUGAAAAAUAAAAGGAAGAGAGUGUCUGUGCUCUUCUCAAAGAGUUUUUGUUUAGUUUGAUGGGGGAAAUAUUUGUGGGUGCCCAUAGACGAUAAUGGCUAUUCUGGAUACAUUAUAAGAUGUGAACAAAAUGCGGGAACUGCUAAGCUAACAAGAUUGGUAGUGGUGGGGGUUAGAAGAAGGUCAUGUGUUGAGUGUUAGUUACAGAGUAACCAGAAGUCAUCUUUCUCUUCAAAGAGUCUGGUGAGCCAGGAAGGUGGGGCCAUGGGUUCUAUAAGCCUGGGCAUAGGAUAUUUAGCAGAGACCCUAGGACUCAGGGGCUUCUAAUCUUUUUUUUUUUUUUUUUUUUUUUUUUUUCUGCCACCAAAUGGUUCAGGGACCUUAACCAGUCUCUUAAUUAUUUAGAGAUUCAUUCAGCUAUGAAUUCAGUGGGAUUGGUGGUUAAGUACUUUAAAUCCCCUUCUAUGACGGAUGCCUAGAAGCAUGACAAGAGAAGAUGUGGGUACAGAAUAGGACCCUGGCCUGUUGCGACCUCACAGGUGGAGUCACCUUCUUUUCCUUUGUUACUUCCUCAAGCUCUUGUCCAACAUUACUGUGCUCACAAACCAAAGUCCCCUUAAAUCACUCUUAACCUCAUUGACAUCCUGAGGAGUUGGGAUUGUUCUUACAUGUGGGUUAGGAAUAGCUCACUCAAAAACAAAUAUUCCUUGUUGGGACAGAGUCAUUCUGGUUUAGGGGACCUUCCUUUGUGUUUUCACAGGUACCUAUGUGUACCUCUAGUAUAAGAGGCUAACUGUGUAUCGUCAUAAGUUAGUUGUCUAUCCAGCUGUUUGAAGAGAGCAGGAAAUCUCAAUAAUCUCUCCAUCCCUAGCACUCAACACAGAGCUAGGAAUGUAGUAAACUCCUAAUAAUGUUUGCCGGAUGGAUGGAUGAAUGACUGAAUCAAAUGAGUGAAUGAAAUCACACUUUGCUGGGAGUCUGAUUGUUAUAGACAGGCUACACUUUCCCCCAGGUUAUGAUAAUAUUGAGCAGCAAGAAAGGUUAAGCUCCAGGCAUAACUAUGAUCUUUAUUUUAAGUGAAAAUUGUGCUCAUUUUGUAGAAUUUUGUAGAAAAGUUUAGUAUCAUAAAGACCUUCUCCUGAGAUUGAUUUUCCCCUCAAAUCUGUAUCUGUCAAAAUGCCACAAACAAAGUUCAGCAGAAAAAAAAAAAACAAACAGUGAAAAUCAUUCAAGGUGGGCAAGGAGAAAAUAUCAAAGUAAGUCUUUCAGGAUGACUAAGACAUUUGAGGUCUAAUGACCUUAGACGUUCCUUGUAAAGCUGGAUGAGUUGACUCAAGUGGAAAGGUGAAUCUUACUGCUUUCAGUAAAAUCCUUUCUUCAUACCCAUCUUGAAUAAUUUUCACUGCUUUUUUUCUACACUUUUUUUUCCUCCCUUUUUUGGCUGCCCCAGGGCAUGUGGAGUUCCCAGGCUGGGGAACAGAUCCACGCUGGAGUGUUGCAACCUAUGUCACAGCUGCAGUAAUGCCAGAUCCUUAACCCACAGUACCAGGCUGGAGAUCGAACCUGGGUCCUAGGACAGAGUGGAGACUCCUUUUUAUCCGCUUCUAAUCCUUUCUAGUUUGCAUCAUAUUCUAAAGUUAGGGACAUAUGCUCACUGACCUGUAGCAAAAUUCAUUCAAAUUGUGUUUACACAAAUAACUUUAACAUUAGUUAAAUAACUGAUAUCUUUGAAUGCCAGACAAGUACUUUCAGUGAGGUUAUCACGUUAAAGUUCUAUUUUCUUGUAAAGAACACAUUACUGUUCUUAUUUUUUAACUGUUUGAAACUUAGAGGUUGAAUAACUUGUCCAAGGUUUUGCACCUGGUGUUAGAGUUAGGAUUCACACCAAUUUCUGACUAAUUUCAUUAUCUGUGUUCUUUUAAUUAUUUCAUGUUGUCUCUCAUGAUAUUAAAUUCUUGAUAGAUGGGUUAGAUUUGACCUAAUAAUCAGAAAAUCCAAUGAAAUAAAAAGAAUUGUAAGUGGCCAGUAUGUACAAAAAUCAAUUAGUUGACUGUGUUUUUCGCUUGUGAAAAUCUUGUAAGGUGUUAUGAUACAUCUCCAAUAUUAGAUUUUUUUUCCAUAAUAAAAUUAGGUAUACAAGGAACUUUGGGAUUCAUUUUUUAAGGGAAUGUUUAUUGAUCACCUACUGUGUACCUGCUUUUCAGAGCUUAGGUUGUAGCAGAACUGAACAAAAUUCUUACUUAAGAAAACUUGGAGUACAUUAAUGAACAACACAGACAAAAAUCCAUGUCCUCAUGGAAGUGUAAUUCCCAUUAUUGUCUCAAUUACAAUCAGGUGGAAGCAAAUUAUCCCGAAUUACUCAGAUAAUUGCCUCUAUAUUUCAUUUCACGGCUCCUGUAGACUUGACCAACCUUAAACACCCAUUAGGACCCACUAUAAACAUUGCUUUUAAAAAUAAUUAAAUUUGGAGAAUGGUGAACAAAGCAAAAUAUUUUAAAUAUUUUUGGUCUCCACUCUGUUUCUUAGUGGACAAUAUUGAAGCAAUAUAAUUUCUGCUUUGGUAAAAUGGUAAUGAGCUUUGUGUUCCAAUAUUAUCUUGGGAUCAGGGGCUGUUGACAAUGAUUGUGUCUCAAAAGUUUGUGAAUUAUUUAGUGAAUUAAAAUUUACUUCAUUAAUUCACUCAAACUGGACAGGUAUGGGCAAUAGCCUGCAAAGUCAUCAUGUGUACAAGUUGAGCUCCUGUAUACACAGUAGGUCAGAAACUCACCAAGACAUGCCAUAACCUUCAUUUGGGGGAAAAAAAAAACACAACUUUUUUUUUUUCCAAAGAGAAAAUUAGCCACCUACGCAUUCUGCAUUCACCAGCUAAUUGCUCCUUCUCCUUCACAUGCCCUUAGGUGCUCUAGAUGAGUAAUUUCAAGAAGAAUGCAAUUAUUAAUCUUUGAAUCUAAGGCUAGCCCCUUUUAUCAAGCAGUAUCACUUGGUAGACAUAAUACUUGAAUCGCUCCAGUUAUUGGUAGUGAUUACAUGUUUUACGUAUAUAGCCCACUACUGAAAUCUUUGAGAAUCCUGGGAUUUAAGAUUUGUGGUUUUGACAUGUUGGGUAUUGUCUUGGAUAUCCCUGAAAUUCUGUAAUAGAUGCGUUUGCUCUGGUGUGAAUUCAAAUCGGCUGUUAUUGAAGGCAAACAUGCAAGGUAAUUGAGGCGCUUAUGACAGUGACUUACAUUUAAUCUACACAGGCAUCACCAAAGGAUAUUUUACGAAAAUUCAUAUGCUGACUCUCCAGAGAGGCACCUGAGAUUCUGUAUUUUUCUCUGGGGUGUCAGUGAUGCUGGUCCUUAGAGCACACCUUAAGUUGUGAACAAUUGUUGGCGAGUGACCCUCGUGGACCCAUGAAUCACGGCUCAAGGCAGCUGUACUGUUUUCCUUUUAUUGUUACACACCCAGUAAUUUUAAUUAAGGUUUUAAAGAAGAAACUUAAAAAUUUAUAGUUGUAAUUGAAUGCAUUUUAUGAGGAAAAUCUAUGCUACAGUAAUGUUCACAAUUUGGGAUUAAGCAGCUCUUACUUGAAAUACAACCUUCCUCCUUGUCAAGGGUUCAUUGUGUCAUUUGGGGAACUCCUUCACACACGUUAUCUUCUUUGGACCUUACUACCUUUAUGAGGCAGACCAGCUGAAUAUUUUGCUAACAUAUUUUUUACAGAUAAUUCAAAUGAGACACAUAGCAGUGAAUGACACCCUCAAGAUAACACACAUCAUGUUGACAAAGCAGGGGUCUAAAACGAGGAUCCCAGCUCUUAGUUUUGCAGCAGAGCCAUCUAACAAAAUGGUUUUCAUUUUAUCCUUGCAAAACUCUCUAGAGUAAUUGCCUUGCUUCACAUAAUAUAUGUUCAAACUAAAAUUAUUAUACAUGCUUAUAAGAUACUUAGCUAUUAUCAGUGUCAUUACCAUUAUCAUCCCAACACACCAUGACAGUGCUUCUGACAAGCACUUAUUACAUUUAAAGAAUGUUUUGUGAGGUACACUGGAUAUACAAGAGAACAUAGGAGUUAGGACUCACCUCUCAGAUACCAUACAAAUGAUUUUCAUGACAACAUAAGAGAAGAUUUGAAAUAUCAAAUUGCAAACAUCAAAUUGAUGAAUUAAUGCAGUUUUAUUAGAGACUUAGUACCUAAUGAACACUCAAGUAAUGUUACUAUCAAACAGGCAUUUAAACUCUGAACGUUUUAAAAUAUUGAAACAUCCAGCAGUGAAGAAAAUCUCAACUGAUGAAGCAAGAUUUUCAGUGGCUCUUGGAAGAAGUAAAAUCACAGCAGUUAAGAGCCAGGCUCUGGAGUUUGGCUGUUUGGAUUUGGAUUACAGCCCAACCAUUCCCAUGCUGGGUGAAUUUGGGUUAAAUAACUUGACUCAGUUACUUUCAGAAGUAACAUGGAGCUAAACUUGGGAGAAAACAAUUGGUUCUACCUCAGGGGUUACUGAGAAAUUAUUUAAGACAUUAAAAAAAACAAAACUGUAUACUGCCUGAUACAUGAUAAAUGCUAUGUAAUUAGAGCUAAUUUUAUUGACCAUUUAUUAUGUUCUAAGCACUCCUUACGUGUGUUCACUCAUUUCUCUUCACAAAAACCUGUGAUGUAGGUGCAUCCUUAUUCCCAUUUUAAAGAUAUGAAUGCUAAAAUGCAGAGAGGUUAAAUGACUUGCCUUAACUCACACAACUUGGAAUUUUGAGAAACGAGAUUAAAACUCAGGCAUCUGGCCUCAAACCUGUGUUCUUUACUAAACUGUACCAGCUGUACAAAUGUCAGUUCUACUAUUAUUACCACUAUGACCGCCGCCGCUGCUGCUAUUAUUUUUAUUGUUAUUCUUGUGAUUGCUGUUGUAUUAUAUGCCAUUAAAGCUUUAGGAAAAGCUGAACAAAGUAAGGUGAAGUGAGGUGCAUUCUAGAGUGAGUCAAGGCGGAAAUGUGGUGGUCCAUCCGGCUUGACAGAGAGCUCCUGGGCCAGUUUGAUUGGGGUGGAGAGCUUGUGGGGUGAAGAAGUAGGAAAUUAGGUUGAAGAGGGAGGGCGGUACCAGACCACAGAAGCUCUUUCCUGUCCCUCUAACAUAAUAGGCCUUGGCUAUGAGGAAAAUGGGAGAAUUUGAAUCUUUUUGGUAAGGGAAAAAUUAAGUUGUAUUGCUGCUUAGAAUAAAAGUGGAGAGGAAGAGGACAGAAACAAGGAGACCAGUUAGAUACGUACGUGGAUUUUAGUGCAUUUUAUUCGUUCACUCACUUAUCAUACAACCAAGCAACCCACUCAAUCUAAGGCACAUUAGGAAUACAGCUAAAAAGUUCUUAGCUAUUAUCAGGGAAAAUGAUACAAUCACAGACUCACAAACACAUUCUCUGAGCACUAAGAAACACUCACAGAAAAUGAGGCUAUAAAGUAAUGAGACUAAAUGCACUAAGCUCUUCUGGAAUUUAUGUUAUUACUUAAUAGCCUUAGCUCCUAUAUAAGAAAUAUAUCAGGAGUUCCCAUUGUGGCCCAGUGAGUUAAGACCCAACAUAGUGUCCGUGAGGAUGUGGGUUCAACCCCGGCCUCGCUCAGUGGGUUAAGGAUCUGGUGAUGCUGCAAGCUGCUACAGUGUAGGUCACAUACACAACUUGGAUUCCCCCUUUCUGUGGCUGUGGCUGUGGCUGCGGUGCAGGCCAUCAGAUACAGGUUUGAUUCAGCCCCUAGCUCAGGAACUUCCAUACGCUGUAGGUGUGGCUGUAACAAAG